CCCUGAGCUGAGCCAAAGUACUGUUGCUGGACAGGGCAGCUCAGAUAGAAUGGAUUUUCCCUUCUGUCUGAAUUGACUGGAACCCCAACAUUGACUAAGAUAAUGGACCUGGCAGACAUCACAUACAAAAUGAACAGUGGCAGUCUAGUCCAGAAUAUACUGCAAGGUUCUACCAACUAGCCAAGUCUGUGGAAAUGGCAAGAAACCACCAGAAUAUCAUGAGAAGUUCUUUUGCAAGUUACUCUCUAUGAAGUCAUAACAAACAAAGGUCUCCAUCAUGGUGUAAGGCCAUCCAGUGUCAGAGCAUCAGCAGCAGAAACUAGUGAAUAAACCAAAGCAUGAGUUUU
Molecule: long non-coding RNA, 347 nt
Organism: Mastomys coucha (southern multimammate mouse)
Lineage: Eukaryota; Metazoa; Chordata; Mammalia; Rodentia; Muridae
Exons: 2
Source: RefSeq, a predicted model, not a curated record